This 440-nucleotide ribosomal RNA is filed under the name Graptartia tropicalis. RNAcentral describes it as "partial 16S ribosomal RNA". Lineage: Eukaryota; Metazoa; Arthropoda; Arachnida; Araneae; Corinnidae. The record is from RNAcentral.
UUCUGUUCGAACUAAUUAAUAGUAAAAUCUGCUCAAUGAAAUUUAAAUAGCCGCAUUUUGUGCUAAGGUAGCAUAAUAAUUUGUCUUUUGAAUGAAGACUAGAAUGAAAGAUUACACAUUUUAAAUAAUAUCUUUUAUAUAAACAUAUAAAUUACAAUAAAUGUAAAAAUUCAUUUAUUAAAAAGAAAGACGACAAGACCCUAUCGAACUUUACUAAAGUUAAACUGGGGUAGUUAAUAAAUUAUAAUUUUUAUAAUAAAUAAAAAUAAACUAGACCUAAAAGCUUUAAAAUCCGGAACAAGUUACCGUAGGGAUAACAGUGUAAUAAAUUUUACAAGUUCUUAUUAAAAAACAAGAUUACAACCUCGAUGUUGAAUAAUAACCUUUUUACAAACGCAAAAGUUAAAUAAGGAAGUCUGUUCGACUUUUAAACAAUUACA